UGGGGAAUUGUUCGCAAUGGGCGAAAGCCUGACGCAGCGACGCCGCGUGUGGGAUGAAGGUCUUCGGAUUGUAAACCACUGUCGGGAGGGACGAAGCUCUGACGGUACCUCCAAAGGAAGCACCGGCUAACUCUGUGCCAGCAGCCGCGGUAAUACAGAGGGUGCGAGCGUUGUCCGGAAUCACUGGGCGUAAAGGGCGCGUAGGCGGCCUGGUAAGUAGGGGGUGAAAUCUCAUGGCUCAACUGUGAGGCUGCCUUCUAGACUGCUGGGCUUGAGCACGGUAGAGGCUGGUGGAAUUCCCGGUGUAGCGGUGGAAUGCGUAGAGAUCGGGAGGAACAUCGGUGGCGAAGGCGGCCAGCUGGGCCGUUGCUGACGCUGAGGCGCGAAAGCGUGGGGAGCAAACAGGAUUAGAUACCCACGUAGUCCCUGAGCGGGCUGGCAAGGCGCAU
RNAcentral lists this ribosomal RNA (449 nucleotides) under uncultured bacterium. Its description in RNAcentral is "bacterial SSU rRNA". It matches the Rfam family "Bacterial small subunit ribosomal RNA", at positions 355 to 825 of the family's 1533-position model. The record is from RNAcentral.